CUCAGUUGGUAGAGCACCUCGUUUACACCGAGAAGGUCUACGGUUC
Molecule: transfer RNA, 46 nt
Filed under: Antigonon leptopus (chain-of-love)
Lineage: Eukaryota; Viridiplantae; Streptophyta; Magnoliopsida; Caryophyllales; Polygonaceae
Description: partial tRNA-Val
Source: RNAcentral